GACGAACGCUGGCGGCGUGCUUAACACAUGCAAGUCGAACGGAAAGGCCCUGCUUUUGUGGGGUGCUCGAGUGGCGAACGGGUGAGUAACACGUGAGUAACCUGCCCUUGACUUUGGGAUAACUUCAGGAAACUGGGGCUAAUACCGGAUAGGAGCUCCUGCUGCAUGGUGGGGGUUGGAAAGUUUCGGCGGUUGGGGAUGGACUCGCGGCUUAUCAGCUUGUUGGUGGGGCAGUGGCUUACCAAGGCUUUGACUGGUAGCCGGCCUGAGAGGGUGACCGGCCACAUUGGGACUGAGAUACGGCCCAGACUCCUACGGGAGGCAGCAGUGGGGAAUAUUGCACAAUGGGCGGAAGCCUGAUGCAGCAACGCCGCGUGCGGGAUGACGGCCUUCGGGUUGUAAACCGCUUUCGCCUGUGACGAAGCGUGAGUGACGGUAAUGGGUAAAGAAGCACCGGCUAACUACGUG
Molecule: ribosomal RNA, 468 nt
Filed under: uncultured bacterium
Lineage: Bacteria
Description: partial 16S ribosomal RNA
Rfam family: Bacterial small subunit ribosomal RNA
Source: RNAcentral